GCACAAGCGGUGGAUGAUGUGGUAUUAAUUCGAUGCAACGCGAAAACCUUACCUACCCUUGACAUGUCCGGAAUCCUGCAGAGAUGCGGGAGUGCCCGAAAGGGAAUCGGAACACAGGUGCUGCAUGGCUGUCGUCAGCUCGUGUCGUGAGAUGUUGGGUUAAGUCCCGCAACGAGCGCAACCCUUAUCAUUAGUUGCUACGCAAGGGCACUCUAAUGAGACUGCCGGUGACAAACCGGAGGAAGGUGGGGAUGACGUCAAGUCCUCAUGGCCCUUACAUCCCGGGCUACACACGUGCUACAAUGGCAGGUACAGAGGGCUGCGAAGCCGCGAGGUGGAGCGAAUCCCAGAAAACCUGUCUCAGUCCGGAUUGAAGUCUGCAACUCGACUUCAUGAAGGCGGAAUCGCUAGUAACCGCGAAUCAGCAGGUCGCGGUGAAUACGUUCCCGGGCCUU
Molecule: ribosomal RNA, 455 nt
Filed under: uncultured Thiobacillus sp.
Lineage: Bacteria; Pseudomonadati; Pseudomonadota; Betaproteobacteria; Nitrosomonadales; Thiobacillaceae
Description: bacterial SSU rRNA
Rfam family: Bacterial small subunit ribosomal RNA
Source: RNAcentral